This 253-nucleotide ribosomal RNA is filed under the name uncultured bacterium. RNAcentral's name for it is "partial 16S ribosomal RNA". It matches the Rfam family "Bacterial small subunit ribosomal RNA", at positions 524 to 776 of the family's 1533-position model. The record is from RNAcentral.
UACGGGGGGGGCUAGCGUUGUUCGGAAUUACUGGGCGUAAAGGGUCUGUAGGUGGCCAACUAAGUCAGACGUGAAAUCCCUCAGCUUAACUGGGGAACUGCGUCUGAUACUGGUUGGCUUGAGUGCAGGAGAGGAAUGCGGAAUUCCAGGUGUAGCGGUGAAAUGCGUAGAUAUCUGGAGGAACACCGGUGGCGAAGGCGGCAUUCUGGACUGCAACUGACACUGAAAGACGAAAGCCAGGGGAGCAAACGGG